GGAGGGUGCAAGCGUUAUCCGGAUUCACUGGGUUUAAAGGGUGCGUAGGUGGGUUGGUAAGUCAGUGGUGAAAUCUCUAGGCUUAACCUGGAAACUGCCAUUGAUACUAUCAAUCUUGAAUCUCGCGUAGGUAAGCGGAAUAUGUCAUGUAGCGGUGAAAUGCUUAGAUAUGACAUAGAACACCAAUUGCGAAGGCAGCUUACUUCACGAGUAUUGACACUGAGGCACGAAAGCGUGGGGAGCAAACAGGAUUAGAUACCCUGGUAGUCCACGCCCUAAACGAUGGAUACUCGACAUUAGCGAUACACUGUUAGUGUCUGAGCGAAAGCAUUAAGUAUCCCACCUGGGAAGUACGACCGCAAGGUUGAA
RNAcentral lists this ribosomal RNA (369 nucleotides) under uncultured bacterium. Its description in RNAcentral is "bacterial SSU rRNA". It matches the Rfam family "Bacterial small subunit ribosomal RNA", at positions 527 to 898 of the family's 1533-position model. The record is from RNAcentral.